Molecule: long non-coding RNA, 400 nt
Organism: Pyrus x bretschneideri (Chinese white pear)
Lineage: Eukaryota; Viridiplantae; Streptophyta; Magnoliopsida; Rosales; Rosaceae
Exons: 2
Source: RefSeq, a predicted model, not a curated record
CGUUUGUUGUGAAUUCAGAUCCAAAAAAUGGCAGGUGGACUCGCAGCACGUUUCUCGAAGCUCUCGAUUCCCCAAUCCUCCGAUGUAAAGGCCGCCGCCAUGUGGGGCGUUGCCGCCGGCACCGGCGCUCUUUGGUUCGUCCAGCCGUUUGAUUGGAUAAAGAAGACAUUUUUCGAGAAGCCUGCUGAGACUGAAGGCCAAUAAAUUUCACGAUGUUGCUGGAUCUAGAUCCGUCGUAACGCAAUUUUCAUCGUCGUUUUCAAGUUUCAAUGAGCCAACCAAUCAGAGGAGAGAUUCUAAUUUCCCAUCUGUUUCAAUAAUUUGCUUGUUUUAGAAUUUCCAAGGGACUAUUUUUUUUUUAAUUGAAUAUUCUCUUUAAGAUUUGGUUGUGGUUUUUGCU